RNAcentral lists this ribosomal RNA (469 nucleotides) under uncultured bacterium. RNAcentral describes it as "bacterial SSU rRNA". It matches the Rfam family "Bacterial small subunit ribosomal RNA", at positions 29 to 507 of the family's 1533-position model. The record is from RNAcentral.
AACGAACGCUGGCGGCGGGCCUCAUACAUGCAAGUCGAGCGCGAAAGUCCGCAAGGAUGAGUAAAGCGGCGCACGGGUGAGUAACACGUGGGUAAUCUACCUUUUGGAUUGGAAUAACCUGUCGAAAGACGGGCUAAUGCCGAGUAAGCUUUCUUGAACGUAAAGUUCGAGCAAGGAAAGAUGGCGCAAGCUAUCGCCGAUAGAUGAGCCUGCGUCCCAUUAGUUAGUUGGUGGGGUAAUGGCUUACCAAGACAAUGAUGGGUAGCUGGUCUGAGAGGACGACCAGCCUCACUGGAACUGAGACACGGUCCAGACACCUACGGGUGGCAGCAGUCGAGAAUUUUUCUCAAUGGGGGAAACCCUGAAGGAGCGACGCCGCGUGGGGGAUGACGGAUCUAGGUCUGUAAACUCCUUUUUCAUGGAAAGACUUAGGACGGUACCAUGAGAAUAAGGACCGGCUAACUACGUG